Panthera uncia (snow leopard) is the source of this 1415-nucleotide long non-coding RNA. RefSeq lists it as uncharacterized. NCBI's taxonomy places the organism in Eukaryota, Metazoa, Chordata, Mammalia, Carnivora, Felidae. The record is from RefSeq and is a predicted model, not a curated record. The transcript has 4 exons.
CAGGGCUGUUGGGUUUUGCAGGGAUUUAUUUUCCUCCAUUUCCCUCCCAACAUUCAACUCAACCCCUUUCCACCCCUAACACCAUAUAACCGUCCUUCAUCUCUCACCCUCCUUUUGUUCCUUCUGAUGCCAAGAAGAAAAAAAAACUAGCACAAUUCCUUGUUUUGAAAAGUUGAUUUAUUCCAAGCAGCAGAGUGGAGUUCACCUAUCUAUACCUCUUUGAGACAGGAAAAGAGAAAGCAGAAACUGAGACGCAAACAAGGCUCCCGGAAACUUCCCUCUGCUCUGCGUUCCUCCCAGGAGCCCAGGAGAAAGACCGAAUGAAAAGCAUCCUUCAAACAAGCCCAGGAAGGAAAGCCAAGUCCUCCCUGUGGGGUCCCUGGGAGCAGCCUCUGGAAGGCUCUUGAAGGGAGAGAAGAGAGUGAAGUCAAGGCAUUAAUUUUCCUGGACCGUUUCUUGUGAAGGUCAAUUCUUUGCAACUAUCGAGGUUACUCUAUUGGUCAGCUGUGGUUGUAUAGUAACCCCAAACUCUCGGUGGCGGUACGACCAUGGCACCCAUUUCUCAAAUACCUUCAGGGGGCCUGCUGAUCAACCCUGCUGUAAUAAUAAGUCCUGAUUUUCCGUAAUUGAUGUUUUGACAUCUUCCAAGCAUGAACCAAGCUAAUGGCUGAAGCUGUUUACACCCGUAUGACCCCUGUGUUAUUGCAGAUUACAUAGAUAACAUAUUAUGAACCCUCUCACGCCAAACCCCAAUAUUGCAUUUUGCUCCUACCCACUUAGAGGAUGCCCCCACCUCAUGACUUUUCACGGCUAUAGUAUUAAAGAUUCUCACCUACGCUCGCUCCCUCUGCCUGCCGACUGACCCUGCUCCUUCCCCGUGUGGCCCUUCGUGACAUACCAUAUCCCCUCCUCCUGGAAACUGUGGAAGAAGAAUUCUGAAAGGACAUCGAUUUCCCGUGAAGGCAGAGGCGACUGUGAACCGUCACCACACGAAAGUGACAAUUUCUGGCUAAAAGCAGCCAACCGAAUGGGUACAAAACCACCCUAACACCAUCAAAGGCCGACCCAGGCAGUGGUGACCAAGGCUUCAAACACGCUGAGGAUGCUUUGUGAUGCUCAACAGAUUCUCACUGAUUGACUGGGAGGUGGAUUUGGAAUGAAGUGAUCGGGGGACUUUCUGUUUGUAUGACCUCUUUGAGCCCUGGUGUUCUUCUCUAUAAAAGGCGAUGGCAUUACCUGCCUUAAGAGCUGCUGUGACAACAAAAAGCCCAUGUACGAAUGAGCUGUGCAAAAAUUUACACACCGUGAUUCAUGCGCGUUAUUGGCUGGUUUUGGUGGUGGCCGUAGACGUGUUAGCUGUUAUUAUUCACUGCUGUGACUGAGGACGGUUUGAAAUAAAAUAGCUCCUCGUUCUA